CUCUCUGAAAUAGGACUUUCUGUAUUGAAUUUUACUAGGAAUUUAGUAAUUUUGUUAUUUCACAUUUUUUCUUUUUUUUAGUAUUACUCAGUUGCUAAACCUAACCCAGAAAUUGUAAGUUCACACAACGUCCACAAGAAAACAAUACUGAGUGGGCUUCUAAAACAAAUGUGUUAAUUAACUAAAUAGAUAACUAAUGAAUACUUUGGAAGAAGUUUAAUUGGUUAGGAUACUACCAACCGCUAAAUAUAAUCAUUUUGUGUUUAUAAUAUACCAACAUUGUCACAGUUUUGUUACAUAACCAACAUCAAAUGAUAUAAAAACAUGGUGCUAUGGACAAAGAUUAUUACUCGUUAAUACUGGGACCAAUAUACUAAUUUACAAGUACCUAAAAUCAUAAAAGUUUUUUGCAGUUGUUAAUCAGAUUUCACAACCAAUUGGUUCAAUCAUAAUUUAUCAGCUGUUACAACCCACAAUUUUAGUAAUAACCAGAUUAUUUUUAGUUGAUAAGUGAUUGGCUUCAUAUACUACGAAGAAAAUUGUAAUGCUAACAAAACAACAAGACAAUGUUGUAAUAUUAUAACACAUUGGGAUUUUAUAAAUGAGAAAUAUAUAUAUAUAUGUAUAAAACUAACAGAAUACAAGAACUUUUAUGUAACAGAAAUUUAAAGAGGUUUAACUGGAAAAUAUAAAAUUAUCAUAUCUACCGGAAUUAAUAAGUGCACCAGGGUCAAAUGGUAGUUUUAUUCAGAAUGCUAAACAGAUAUCUUCAAUUUUUCUUGUUUACAUGAAAUAACAAGGUUAUAAUUGCAAGUUCAAGUGAACUUCUUCAUAUUUGUUAUCAAUAUUGAGAAAAGUGCAUGUUAAAACAAGAAUGUGUCCUCAGUACACGAAUGCCCCACUCGCACUAUAUUUCCAUGUCAGUGGAC
Molecule: long non-coding RNA, 929 nt
Filed under: Mytilus galloprovincialis (Mediterranean mussel)
Lineage: Eukaryota; Metazoa; Mollusca; Bivalvia; Mytilida; Mytilidae
Source: RNAcentral